UAGGGAAUCUUCGGCAAUGGACGAAAGUCUGACCGAGCAACGCCGCGUGAGUGAAGAAGGUUUUCGGAUCGUAAAACUCUGUUGUUAGAGAAGAACAAGGACGUUAGUAACUGAACGUCCCCUGACGGUAUCUAACCAGAAAGCCACGGCUAACUACGUGCCAGCAGCCGCGGUAAUACGUAGGUGGCAAGCGUUGUCCGGAUUUAUUGGGCGUAAAGCGAGCGCAGGCGGUUUCUUAAGUCAGAUGUGAAAGCCCCCGGCUCAACCGGGGAGGGUCAUUGGAAACUGGGAGACUUGGGUGCAGAAGAGGAGAGUGGAAUUCCAUGUGUAGCGGUGAAAUGCGUAGAUAUAUGGAGGAACACCAGUGGCGAAGGCGGCUCUCUGGUCUGUAACUGACGCUGAGGCUCGAAAGCGUGGGGAGCAAACAGG
This 429-nucleotide ribosomal RNA is filed under the name Gemmatimonadota bacterium. RNAcentral describes it as "Gemmatimonadetes bacterium partial 16S ribosomal RNA". It matches the Rfam family "Bacterial small subunit ribosomal RNA", at positions 355 to 776 of the family's 1533-position model. The record is from RNAcentral. Lineage: Bacteria; Pseudomonadati; Gemmatimonadota.